Molecule: ribosomal RNA, 3706 nt
Filed under: Triticum aestivum (bread wheat)
Lineage: Eukaryota; Viridiplantae; Streptophyta; Magnoliopsida; Poales; Poaceae
Description: partial small subunit ribosomal RNA
Source: RNAcentral
GAACGAACGCGCUCUGUCUCUCCGCCUCUCAGCUCUCAAACACGUCCACUCGUUUCAAAAAAAAGUCCACCCGUUUCAAACUUCUCCGGCGGCUCCAGGGCCGAGAUCAGGGAUGGGAGGGUGCUUCUCCGGCGACGUCCGCGGCGGCAUGGAGGCCGUCGGCGGGGGCGCGAGGGGGGCGGCGGCGGCGGUGCAGGGCCAGGGCCAGGGCGGGCCUAACGAGGCGGUCGACCACUUCUUCCAGGGCCAGGCGCUGCGCCUCUACACCCCUCUCGAGCUAUCCUUUUCAGCUUCCAAGUUGAGAAAUAUGGAUGCUCUUUCUAAGAGUGAUCCUAUGUUGGUGGUUUACACAAAAAUGGAUGGAAGGCUAGAAGAGAUCGGCCGCACUGAAGUGAUAUUGAAUUCACUGGAACCAUUGUGGAUCACAAAAGCUAUGAUAAAUUACCAAUUUGAGAUUGUUCAACCGCUCGUGUUCAGGAUAUAUGACGUUGACACAAAGUACCAUAACACACCACUGAAGAUGUUGAACUUGGCUCAGCAAGAUUUUCUAGGGGAAGCAUUCUGCAAUUUAUCCGAGAUAGUCACAAAGUUCAACCAUAGCCUGACUUUGAACCUCCGAAAUGGCUCUGGACAUGCCCUUCAGGGCACAGUGACAGUACAUGCGGAAGAAACUGCUUCAUCAAGGAUGGCAGUUGAUAUGCAAUUCCACUGCCUGAACCUGGAUAACAAAGACACGUUCUCCAAAAGUGAUCCCUUCUUGAGAGUAUCAAGACUCUCAGAAAGUGCUGUUGCCAUUCCUAUAUGUAAAACAGAAGUGAUCAAGAACAAUUUAAAUCCUAUUUGGAGGCCUAUAACACUGACAUCACAGCAGUACAGUAGCAAGGAUGACCCACUGCUAGUUGAGUGUUUUGAUUUUGAUGCCAGUGGCAACCACGAACUUAUUGGGUCUCUCCAGACAACUAUCGCUCAGCUUGAAAAUCUAUAUAACUCAAAGGCUGGAGCAAAUUUUUACAGCCAUAAGGGACAAAAGAAGUUGAAAGGACAGUUGUUCUUGGAUAAGUUCCAGGAAAAAGUUCAACAUACUUUCUUGGACUAUAUUUCCAGUGGGUUUGAGCUCAAUUUUAUGGUGGCUGUAGAUUUUACUGCAUCAAAUGGUGACCCUCGCGUACCACAAUCUUUGCACUACAUUGACCCCUCUGGCAGACCAAACUCAUACCAGCAGGCAAUUCUAGGGGUAAGCGAAGUUCUACAGUUUUAUGACAAUGAUAGACGAUUCCCUGCAUGGGGUUUUGGUGCAAAGAUACCACGAGGAUCUGUAUCCCACUGUUUCAACUUGAAUGCAAGCACCAAUGACUGUGAGGUAGUUGGAGUUGAAGGCAUCAUGUCAGCGUACUCUUCUACUCUUUACAGUGUUUCUCUUGCGGGACCAACCUUGUUUGGGCCAGUGAUCAGCAAAGCUGCAGAAAUUGCCAGCCAUUCUGUGCAAUAUGCAAACAACAAAUAUUUUGUCCUGCUCAUUAUCACGGAUGGAGUUAUCACCGACCAGCAAGAAACAAAAGAUUCUAUUGUAAGGGCAUCAGAUUUGCCGUUGUCGAUUCUCAUCGUGGGAGUCGGGAAUGCUGAUUUCACUCAAAUGAGGAUCCUGGAUGCGGACUUCGGUAAGCGGCUUGAAAGCUCAACAGGCAGGGUCGCGACGCGCGACAUCGUCCAGUUCGUCCCCAUGAGGGAAGUCCAAGCAGGUGGGCAGGUCACCGUUGUCCAGAGCCUGCUGGAGGAGCUGCCUGGGCAGUUCCUGGAGUACAUGCGCACUCGGGACAUCAAGCCGCGACCGCCCCAGCACGCCUCAGCGCCGCCAGCUUACCACCCUCCUCCUCCCCAGCUGUGAAGGAACCCCGCCGGGUCCGCCACCCCACACAAGCUGGUCUGCGCGUACGUACCAGCUGGCAAUUGUAGAUUCCACCGUCUAUCUGUCUGACUAACUCCCGUCGCCGUUGUCUCCACAUCACGUUAGGUACUGAACCCCGUCGAUAACUUCUCCACCCAGGUUUAGGACGUGGCUGCAAACACUACGUAUGAAAAAUGAGACGCCUCCUUGUAUUUUUCUCGCUGAACUGCUGCUAUGUUGGUCACUUUGUCGCCGACAAGGAAUUAUCUCCAGGCCACCCAUCCUGUCACUCUGUGCGUUUACUUGAGGUUUUGUUUAUCGUUCAUCCCAAUUCAUGGGUCGGCUAUCCGCGGUCGCCUGUUGCUGGAGAAGGUGAAGGAGAAAAAUUGCGGGAGGCUUGGUAUCACAUUUGUUAAGCAGAGGCAUAAUGUACUCUUUUCAACCUUUGGACUAAAUAGGCGGGACUGAAAUUAUUCAAUUUAGUUAAGUGUCGCUAACUUAUCCAGGACUCCUCUUUUUCCUCGGUGAAACAAGAAAUCAUUUUAUUAAAAUGAAAUUCCUGAGCGUUUGAUGAAAAACUACCACUUUAGGGUUCCUGUCCCACGGAACUACUACUUUAAAAAAAAAACUGACCAAUGACCAAAGUCUACCGAUUUUUUUUUAAUUUUGUGUAUAAAAACUACCAAGUCCGGUUGAUGACCGUUUCAAGCGAUUUAAAGACUGGAGUGGCCCACCUCUAUGCCUAACGGCUAACGGCGCCAUCAGCUGCCCGUGAGUGCUGCUGCUUGGUUGGGUCGUGCCAGACCAGGUCAAACCAUCUCGACCGGCUCCCCCGUUCCCCAUCUCACUCUCCCUUGAGCUCCUCCCUAGCCCUAGGCGGCGGCUCUAGUGGCAGCCAUGGAUGCAAACUCCAGCGGCACAAAUCAUUUGGCGGCAUACCUACAGACGUCGGCGGCUGGGGGGGGGGGGGUUGGUGACUUCUCGCAGGUGGAUAACUAGCUAGGCAGCAUGAGCUUCACGGCGCAGCAGCUUUCCCAUCCAGAAUCACAACAUUCGCACAAGUUGGCUUGGUCAGUGCCGGCUCAACCACUGUCGACUACAAGGAGUACAUCGUGAGGCCGGUGCAAGCUUCCUCGUCCUGGGGGCAGCGACAGAUUCAGAUGGCAACAAUGUGGAACAUCAGGCGAUGACUCCUUUGAAGAUGAAUCUACAAAACAAGAUACAACGGUGCUACUGAAACUCAGCGAGUGAGAAAUCCUGGUCCAACCAGUAGAUCCCACCAUGAGGUUAAGAAAAAAGGAAAAACCAGAUUGGUUUUCUAAAGCAGAUGAAAUAUGUUUCCCUAGUGAUUUUGGCAUUAGUGAUGAAGAUGAGCCUGAAGGAUCCUAUAAAGUACCAGGUGGUAGGAAGAGAAGGAAUAAAAAUUUGAAGGACAUGAUAUGGUUUAAUGGCAUACUUCCAGGACCAGUAGGACAAUUUUGUAAGGGAUUGUGCUUCACUAGUGUCUAUGAGUUCAGAAAUGCACUUAGGGAUUUCCACAUUAGGACUUUGAGGAUUUUUCAAUAUCAUAGAAAUGCCCCUAAUAGGAUUAUUGUUUGCUCUCGGAGAGAGCCCAGGGAUGUGACUUUUAUAUCGAUGCCUCUAAGUUAGCUCAUGAAAAAACUUUCUGCAUCAAGAAGUAUGAUAUGCUGCAUACUUGUAGAGCAUGUGCAGAGACCACAAAGGUUACUACAAAGUGAUUGUCCAGGUCAGUACAGGCAUCACUGAGAGACAUUAGAUCUCCUGUGGAUGCAUUAAUUAAAAAUACCAAGACUAAGUUUU